GAUGUCGUGCUUAUAAAGAAACUU
This 24-nucleotide non-coding RNA is filed under the name Arabidopsis thaliana (thale cress). The record is from RNAcentral. Lineage: Eukaryota; Viridiplantae; Streptophyta; Magnoliopsida; Brassicales; Brassicaceae.